AGCGAACGCUGGCGGCAGGCUUAACACAAGCAAGUCGAACGGGCUUCUUCGGAAGUCAGUGGCAGACGGGUGAGUAACACGUGGGAACGUGCCCUUCGGUUCGGAAUAACUCAGGGAAACUUGAGCUAAUACCGGAUACGCCCUUAUGGGGAAAGGUUUACUGCCGAAGGAUCGGCCCGCGUCUGAUUAGCUUGUUGGUGGGGUAACGGCCUACCAAGGCGACGAUCAGUAGCUGGUCUGAGAGGAUGAUCAGCCACACUGGGACUGAGACACGGCCCAGACUCCUACGGGAGGCAGCAGUGGGGAAUAUUGGACAAUGGGCGCAAGCCUGAUCCAGCCAUGCCGCGUGAGUGAUGAAGGCCUUAGGGUUGUAAAGCUCUUUUGUCCGGGACGAUAAUGACGGUACCGGAAGAAUAAGCCCCGGCUAACUUCGUG
This 435-nucleotide ribosomal RNA is filed under the name uncultured bacterium. RNAcentral's name for it is "partial 16S ribosomal RNA". It matches the Rfam family "Bacterial small subunit ribosomal RNA", at positions 29 to 507 of the family's 1533-position model. The record is from RNAcentral.